GGAAGAGUGUCCGAGCGGCCGAAGGAACACGCCUCGAAAGCGUGCGUAGUGAAAGCUACCGCGGGUUCAAAUCCCGCCUCUUCCG
Molecule: transfer RNA, 85 nt
Filed under: Aeriscardovia aeriphila
Lineage: Bacteria; Bacillati; Actinomycetota; Actinomycetes; Bifidobacteriales; Bifidobacteriaceae
Rfam family: tRNA
About the family: Transfer RNA (tRNA) molecules are approximately 80 nucleotides in length. Their secondary structure includes four short double-helical elements and three loops (D, anti-codon, and T loops). Further hydrogen bonds mediate the characteristic L-shaped molecular structure. tRNAs have two regions of fundamental functional importance: the anti-codon, which is responsible for specific mRNA codon recognition, and the 3' end, to which the tRNAs corresponding amino acid is attached (by aminoacyl-tRNA synthetases). tRNAs cope with the degeneracy of the genetic code in two manners: having more than one tRNA (with a specific anti-codon) for a particular amino acid; and 'wobble' base-pairing, i.e. permitting non-standard base-pairing at the 3rd anti-codon position.
Source: Rfam by way of RNAcentral